UGGCACGUGGAGGAGCUUCCGCGGCACGUGACCGGCCAUGAUCUUCCCCCACAUGUUCAUGAAGUCUGAGGCAGAAAACGCAUCUCCAAGGACGUUGGCCCAGCUGAGUCCCACUGCCAUUCCUCCACAUUUGAACCAAGUGAACUGCUUGCAAAUUACCACAUGAAAAAACGACCAUGUAAAUAUGUGCAAAGAGGAUUCAUUUGUUCCUAAUUAGUCUAAAGUCCAGACCCUUUCCCGGCAGAUCAUCUAAUCAAUAUGGUUGAAAAUAACAAAACUUGUCCAAUCAGGUCUCUGUCAAAAGUUCCACGUAGCGAUUGUGAUUUACGCCUAUUUCUGGCAUGUGCUUAUCACACAUACACAAUUAGAUAAUUAUGAAAAAAAGACGCGUAUAACUCAUAUCAUUGUAGCUACUAAUUAUACGUUACUUAUACGAUUAUAUAUGAUUGUACUCCCAGCCUAAAUGACAGAUUCUCUCUUAAAACCACGACACCACAUCGUCAUGACUUCAAUCAAUCACAACGAAGUGUUACGAUUUAUUUUUCCUUUGCUUCUCUCUCCUAUUAGUUUCUACUAAUUGCAACCGGAGUAGAUGCCACUAUAAUUGUGCUUGAAUGAUUGAGAGAUUUUCUCCUCUGCACGCCUACUCCAGUUAUGAUUGAGUAGGCACCAAGAUCUACAAAUUUAGAAAUACAGCUAUUUUUGUUGUAUUGGAUUUAUACAAUUUUUUUUGAAUUAACGAAUAGCAUGUACAUAUACUGAAAUACCAAGAACAAAAGAUGAGCUAAAACAAGUACAUAGUAUAGUUAUUACCUGUAAAAAGACCAAAGGAGAGUAACCAAGAUCAGGACCAAGGGAUUGAUUAUAAGCAAGCCCAUCAAAGAGAGAAGAGUCCUCCACAGCCCUGGCGAACCAUUCAUCAACUGUUUCUUCAGAAUGCGCUUCUACAAUUCUCACACCGCCGUCGUUACACUUGAUGAACGGCCUCCCCG
This 992-nucleotide long non-coding RNA is filed under the name Malus domestica (apple). RNAcentral's name for it is "long non-coding RNA (MDOM_LNC015813)". The record is from RNAcentral. Lineage: Eukaryota; Viridiplantae; Streptophyta; Magnoliopsida; Rosales; Rosaceae.